This 19-nucleotide small nuclear RNA is filed under the name Arabidopsis thaliana (thale cress). Its description in RNAcentral is "snRNA_15133". Lineage: Eukaryota; Viridiplantae; Streptophyta; Magnoliopsida; Brassicales; Brassicaceae. The record is from RNAcentral.
ACGGAUCCGGAGGAGUUCU